GGGAACAUACCCUUUUCUACGGAAUAGCUCUGGGAAACUGGAAUUAAUACCGUAUACGCCCUACGGGGGAAAGAUUUAUCGGGGAAGGAUUGGCCCGCGUUGGAUUAGCUAGUUGGUGGGGUAAAGGCCUACCAAGGCGACGAUCCAUAGCUGGUCUGAGAGGAUGAUCAGCCACAUUGGGACUGAGACACGGCCCAAACUCCUACGGGAGGCAGCAGUGGGGAAUAUUGGACAAUGGGCGCAAGCCUGAUCCAGCCAUGCCGCGUGAGUGAUGAAGGCCCUAGGGUUGUAAAGCUCUUUCACCGAUGAAGAUAAUGACGGUAGUCGGAGAAGAAGCCCCGGCUAACUUCGUGCCAGCAGCCGCGGUAAUACGAAGGGGGCUAGCGUUGUUCGGAAUUACUGGGCGUAAAGCGCACGUAGGCGGAUAUUUAAGUCAGGGGUGAAAUCCCAGAGCUCAACUCUGGAACUGCCUUUGAUACUGGGUAUCUUGAGUAUGGAAGAGGUAAGUGGAAUUGCGAGU
RNAcentral lists this ribosomal RNA (520 nucleotides) under uncultured bacterium. RNAcentral's name for it is "bacterial SSU rRNA". It matches the Rfam family "Bacterial small subunit ribosomal RNA", at positions 120 to 674 of the family's 1533-position model. The record is from RNAcentral.